AGAAAGUGCAAGUAACUUACUAAGACUUUGGUAUGCAGAAUUUGAGCAGUACUUAUAGUAAAUGACCUCUUCCUAUGAACUACUAAAUGAUUUUUGCCUUCCAUAAAGCAAAAGUCCUUAAUCCACUUGAUUGUGGAUUUGGUAUUUGAAUCUCUCUAGCAAACACUUCAAAACAGGACCUUAGUAUUCUAUAUAACAUUUUGUUCUCAAGUAUAUGCAAAUAUAACUUCUUGUAGUUAUCUUUAUGAGUGAAUGUAAACUGAAUAGUAAUAGUUAGGUGUUGCACUGUUUUUAAAGAAACCAACUUAAAUCUAAACCACAGAAAGAGGGCUAUUAGUGCCAUUGUAUCACCCUAGAUACGCUAAAGAAAAAGCAAGGCCAAAGUUGGUAAGAACCAUUUCACUGACUAGAUCAAGAGCAGAUUUUAAACCACUGCUCUGUGGUUGCAAAUCCCCUAUUUACUUGAUGUAGAAAUAAGAAGGUCAAACACAAAAAUAUCAAUAGAAAAUUACUAAACAAUAAGACUAAAACCAAGGAAAACUAAGUAGUUAAAGAAAUAAUGUUUCCAUACAGAAUUUCCAUAAAUGUUAGGGUUUCAGAAGUCCUAGCUGUGAACUAGUAUAACUGUUAUUUCUAGUACUGAUGUUAUUUUCUCCAAUAUAACUUGUAAUUUAUGUACUUUUCUACUCAAGAAAGAAAAGCAAUGGAAAAGAAAUUGCAUGUAUGAGUCUGAAAGUAAGUCCUGCAGCAUGCUUUUCAGUUGUGUGCAGCAAGGAAGGAAAACACAACAUAACUACAUGAAUGAAACAAAGAAAGUUAUCCACACUGAUGGAACUGGAAGGACUAAUGAGUUAGCUGUCAUCUGCACUACAUCAGCCCAAAAACCUGUCUAGUCUGGUAGCAAAAUACCAAAAGCCUUGAAAAACGUCAAUUGGUAUGGCAGGAACCCAGUAAUAUGACCUCCCUGUAAUGUCACAGAUUUACCAAGCAAAAGCUUCAGUUUCUUCUUUGAAGACAUCUUGCCCCUCCCAGAGUUUGGAGAAGGAAGCUGAAAUGUGAGAGGUGGCUCGUUCUGGGGCACGCAUGCAUGACUCCAAAUAGAAUUUGUGUCUGCUCUUUGGAUUGUAAACUGGGCCACGCUAAUUGCUGUAAUCUCAGCCUCUUCAGACAGCAGGAAGCAUGUUCGUUUACAAGCAUAUGCUACAUCUCACAUCGUACUCUUCCGGAUAAUGCCAGUCACAGAUUAAAGAUGUAUAGCAUCUUUGAAUAAGCAAUUAAAGAACUUUACAAGGAUUG
Molecule: long non-coding RNA, 1296 nt
Organism: Cygnus atratus (black swan)
Lineage: Eukaryota; Metazoa; Chordata; Aves; Anseriformes; Anatidae
Exons: 5
Source: RefSeq, a predicted model, not a curated record